RNAcentral lists this long non-coding RNA (771 nucleotides) under Vombatus ursinus (common wombat). RNAcentral's name for it is "lncRNA (ENSVURG00010023833.1)". Lineage: Eukaryota; Metazoa; Chordata; Mammalia; Diprotodontia; Vombatidae. The record is from RNAcentral.
UGAUACCAUGCCUGCUACCAAGUGGCUACUGCUUCUUUUCUCAGUGGCCUUAUUGGAAUUGAGCUCAGCUCAAACUACUGAUGAGGAGCACCCAGAAGGAGACUCUGUACAGAAUACAGAGGAUGAACAAAAUUCAGGAGAAUCAGUAGGUGGACCAGCACCAAACGACUUCAAACCAGAUGAUCAGGACUCUUUUGAGAAACAAAGGAACUACCCUUUCAGCAAGUAUCAAGGAGGUUACCAAAAACGUAGGCCUCCAGGUCCUCCUAGAGAUGAUGUAUCAGGAGGUUUAGCCCCAAGUAGUCCAACAGGUCAUCAGCAAAGAAGUCGUCCAGGUGGCUGGCAAGGAAUUCAUCCAAGUGGCUGGCAAGGAGUUCAUCCAGGUGGCUGGCAAGUUGGUCGUCCAGGUGGCUGGCAAGGAGGUCUUCCAGGUGGCUGGCAAAUAGGUGUUCCAGGUGACUGGCAAGUAGGUCUUCCAGGUGACUGGCAAGGGGGCCACCCAGGUGGCUGGCAAGGAGGUCAUUCAGGUGUCUGGCAAGUGGGUCAUCCAGGUGGCUGGCCAAGGGGUCAUCCACGUGACUGGAAACGAGGCCGGCAAGGUGGCCAGGAUGGAAGCCAUCCAGGUGACCUGCAAGGACGCCAUUCAGGUGAACAGCAAGGAAGUGGUCCAGUCCCCACAUCACCAAGUGCAUGAAAAGGAAUAUGGUCAUUCAGAAGGCACACUUGAAGUCCUCAUAUGGACCAGGAUAUUGGGACAGUACAGAUCUUCUC